GUGGCGAGUGGCGGACGGGUGAGUAAUGUCUGGGAAACUGCCCGAUGGAGGGGGAUAACUACUGGAAACGGUAGCUAAUACCGCAUAACGUCGCAAGACCAAAGUGGGGGACCUUCGGGCCUCACACCAUCGGAUGUGCCCAGAUGGGAUUAGCUAGUAGGUGGGGUAAUGGCUCACCUAGGCGACGAUCCCUAGCUGGUCUGAGAGGAUGACCAGCCACACUGGAACUGAGACACGGUCCAGACUCCUACGGGAGGCAGCAGUGGGGAAUAUUGCACAAUGGGCGCAAGCCUGAUGCAGCCAUGCCGCGUGUAUGAAGAAGGCCUUCGGGUUGUAAAGUACUUUCAGCGGGGAGGAAGGCGGUGAGGUUAAUAACCUCGCCGAUUGACGUUACCCGCAGAAGAAGCACCGGCUAACUCCGUGCCAGCAGCCGCGGUAAUACGGAGGGUGCAAGCGUUAAUCGGAAUUACUGGGCGUAAAGCGCACGCAGGCGGUCUGUU
This 500-nucleotide ribosomal RNA is filed under the name Pantoea dispersa. RNAcentral's name for it is "bacterial SSU rRNA". It matches the Rfam family "Bacterial small subunit ribosomal RNA", at positions 88 to 584 of the family's 1533-position model. The record is from RNAcentral. Lineage: Bacteria; Pseudomonadati; Pseudomonadota; Gammaproteobacteria; Enterobacterales; Erwiniaceae.